GUAUCGUCAUGUGAUGUGUUUGUGUUUCAGGGUUUGUACUGUAUCUCUGUUAACUGUAUGGAUAACGCUGAGGCCCAGUUCACUACAGCGCUGCGGCUCACCUCCCAUCAGGAGCUGUGGGCGUUCAUCGUCACUAACCUGGCGAGUGUGUACAUCAGAGAGGGAAACAGACAUCAGGAGCUGUACAAUCUAUUAGAGAGGAUAAACCCGGACCACAACUUCCCCGUCAGGUAACACCGAUGAUACGCACGCUCACUCACUCACUCACUCACUCACACACACUGACUCACUCA
This is a long non-coding RNA of Sinocyclocheilus anshuiensis, 293 nucleotides long. RefSeq lists it as uncharacterized. NCBI's taxonomy places the organism in Eukaryota, Metazoa, Chordata, Actinopteri, Cypriniformes, Cyprinidae. The transcript has 3 exons. The record is from RefSeq and is a predicted model, not a curated record.